This 266-nucleotide microRNA precursor is filed under the name Prunus persica (peach). RNAcentral's name for it is "miR6266c stem-loop (ppe-MIR6266c)". Lineage: Eukaryota; Viridiplantae; Streptophyta; Magnoliopsida; Rosales; Rosaceae. The record is from miRBase by way of RNAcentral.
CUUUUUCUAUUAAAUGCAGGGGCAAAAUGAUAUUUUUAUAUUAAAACUAAAAAAAUGAAUAAAAAAAUCAUACCUUUAAAAUAACAAUAAAAGAAAAUCAAAUUAAAAAAACAAUAAUAAAGUUUUUGGGGAGUAGAAAUCGAGAUAGAAGGGGGAGAGAGAGUUUAAUUUUAAUUUUUUAGUUUUUUAAUUUUUAAUUUUUUAAUUCAUAUUUUAAUCAAUUUAAUAUAAAAAUACCAUUUUGCCCUUGCAUUUAACAAAAUUGA